This 27-nucleotide non-coding RNA is filed under the name Rattus norvegicus (Norway rat). Lineage: Eukaryota; Metazoa; Chordata; Mammalia; Rodentia; Muridae. The record is from RNAcentral.
UGGUCAGAUGUGGAAAUGGUAGGGAGU